This 366-nucleotide long non-coding RNA is filed under the name Androctonus crassicauda. Lineage: Eukaryota; Metazoa; Arthropoda; Arachnida; Scorpiones; Buthidae. The record is from RNAcentral.
GCAACCCUCUGGGCUCCUUCUGCCAAGGCACCACAGAGUGCACUUGCUCAUGUCAUGUGCCUCUCUGAGCAGACGCCUGGGACACCUGGCUCUGUCUUCCUACAGCUGCUCGCACUGACCUGUGGGAACCUGUGGGUCAUCCCCAGGCUGGAUGGAGUACACACUAGAAGAGGGAUAGUGCCUGGCAUUGGGGCAGCAUCUGCUCAGCACACGGAAAGGGGCCUGGUUCCCUCUCCCCUGGUAGGAGUUGGUCCAGCCUCCUCCCAGACCCAGCUGGAGGCUGAGAGGAGGUGGUGAAUGCUAAUGAGGAUGAAAAGACAUGGGGUGAAAGGAAGGGACAAGACCCACUUCCAAAGAAGAUUACCA